Molecule: unclassified non-coding RNA, 303 nt
Filed under: Hevea brasiliensis (rubber tree)
Lineage: Eukaryota; Viridiplantae; Streptophyta; Magnoliopsida; Malpighiales; Euphorbiaceae
Source: RNAcentral
CUGAAAAUCACGGUCCGGCGACGAAAAUCGCACUCCGUCCGUGGGGUGGGGGCUGCGCGUUAAACUUAAGACGCCUGAAUCCCAGCCACAAUGCGUGAUCGGGUAUGCUGCGGUUGCGCCGGGCACGUACGCUGUUAAACUUUAUUUGAACAGGAUUGCCGUGGCGUGACGCUCACGCCGCAGAGAUGGACCAGUGAUCCGGUUCUGACAUUCGUAUCCCGUCUCACCCGGCACUUUACGAAUGUCAGAACCAUAGGAUCACUGGAAUUAUAACUUGCUAGUGUCCUUUCGUAUCCGACGUUC